AGAUGCGAUCAUACCAGCACUAAAGCACCGGAUCCCAUCAAAACUCCGAAGUUAAGCGUGCUUGGGCGAGAGUAGUACUAGGAUGGGUGACCUCUUGGGAAGUCCUCGUGUUGCAUUCC
RNAcentral lists this ribosomal RNA (119 nucleotides) under Triticum dicoccoides. The record is from RNAcentral. Lineage: Eukaryota; Viridiplantae; Streptophyta; Magnoliopsida; Poales; Poaceae.